AUGGUGGUUCUCUGCAGUAGCUUGGAGCUGCAGAACCACUCCGCCGCCUCGGCCACGGACUCCUUGGACCUGUCCAAUGGGUUUCUCAGUCUGGAGCAGAUCGGCCGGAGGCGGCUCCGCUCGGCUGGCGCGGCGCAGAAGCAGCCCGUGGCGACCACAGCCAAAGCGGGCGAUGGGUCGUCAGUUAAGGAAGUUGGAACCUACCACCGGACACGUGCUUUAAGAUCUUUGAGAAAAGAUGCACAGAAUUCUUCAGAUUCUAGUUUUGAGAAGCAUGUGGAAGCAACGGAGCAACUUGCUAAUGGCAGGCAUUUUACAAGGCAGUCGGCCAGACAGCAGGCUGAUAAAAAAAAAAGAAGAGCGCAGAGAAGACAAAGUGAUUCCAGUUACUCGGUCAUUGAGGACUAGAAACAUCGUUCAAAGUACAGAACACUUACAUGAAGAUAAUGGUGAUGUUGAAAUGUGUCGAAGUUGUAGGAUUAGAAGUCGUUAUAGUGGUGUAAACCAGUCCAUGCUGUUUGGCAAACUUAUAACUAACACUGCUGAAGCUGUACUUCAAAAAAUGGAUGACAUGAAGAAGAUGCGUAGACAGCCAAUGAGAGAACUUGAAGACUUGGGAGUGUUUAAUGAAACAGAAGAAAGCAAUCUUAAUAUGUACACAAGAGGAAAACAGAAAGAUAUUCAAAGAACUGAUGAAGAAACAACUGAUCAUCAAGAAGGAAGUGUGGAAUCAUCUGAAGAGGGUGAAGACCAGGAACAUGAAGAUGAUGGUGAAGAUGAAGAUGAUAAAGAUGAUGAAGAUGAAGAAGAUGGAGAAGAUAAUCAGAAACGAUAUUAUCUUAGAGAAAAACUACUGUUUACUACCAGGCUCCACUGGAAAAACCUCGUCACCAGAGAAAGCCCAACAUAUUUUAUAGUGGCCCAGCUUCUCCUGCAAGACCAAGAUACCGAUUAUCUUCUGCAGGACCAAGAAGUCCUUACUGUAAACGAAUGAACAGGCGAAGGCAUGCAAUCCACAGUGGUGACUCGACUUCAUCUUCCUCCUCUGAGGAUGAACAGCACUUUGAGAGGCGGAGGAAAAGGAGUCGUAAUAGGGCUAUCAAUAGGUGCCUCCCACUAAAUUUUCGGAAAGAUGAAUUAAAAGGCAUGUAUAAAGAUUGAAUGAAAAUUGGAGCAAGCCUUGCCGAUGUUGAUCCAAUGCAACUAGAUUCUUCAGUACGAUUUGAUAGUGUUGGUGGCCUGUCUAAUCAUAUAGCAGCUCUAAAAGAGAUGGUGGUGUUUCCAUUUCUUUAUCCAGAAGUCUUUGAAAAAUUUAAAAUUCAACCCCCAAGAGGUUGUUUGUUUUAUGGGCCACCUGGAACUGGAAAGACUCUGGUUGCCAGAGCACUUACCAAUGAGUGCAGUCAAGGGGAGAAAAGAGUAGCGUUUUUCAUGAGGAAAGGUGCUGACUGUCUAAGUAAAUGGGUAGGAGAAUCUGAAAGACAGCUACGAUUGCUAUUUGAUCAGGCCUAUCAGAUGCGCCCAUCAAUUAUUUUUUUUAAAGAAAUCGAUGGUCUGGCUCCAGUACGGUCAAGCAGGCAAGAUCAGAUUCACAGUUCUAUUGUUUCCACCCUGCUAGCUCUUAUGGAUGGAUUGGACAGCAGAGGAGAAAUUGUGGUCAUUGGUGCUACCAACAGACUAGAUUCUAUAGACCCUGCUUUACGAAGGCCUGGUCGUUUUGACAGAGAAUUCCUUUUUAGCCUACCUGAUAAAGAGGCUCGAAAAGAGAUUCUAAAGAUUCACACCAGGGAUUGGAAUCCCAAACCACUGGACACAUUUUUAGAAGAGCUAGCAGAAAACUGUGUUGGAUACUGUGGAGCAGAUAUUAAAUCAAUAUGUGCUGAAGCUGCUUUAUGUGCUCUACGACGACGCUACCCACAGAUCUAUACCACUAGUGAGAAACUACAGUUGGAUCUCUCUUCAAUUAAUAUCUCAGCUAAGGAUUUCGAGGUAGCUAUGCAAAAGAUGAUACCAGCCUCCCAAAGAGCUGUGACAUCACCUGGGCAGGCACUGUCCACCAUUGUGAAACCACUCCUGCAAAGCACUGUUGACAAGAUCUUAGAAGCCCUGCAGAGAGUAUUUCCACAUGCAGAAUUCACAACAAAUCAAACAUUAGACUCAGAUAUUUCUCGUCCUCUGCUAGAAAGUGACUUGGUUUACAGUGAUGAUGAUGUUCCAUCAGUUUAUGAAAAUGGACUUUCUCAGAAAUCUUCUCCUAAGGCAAAAGACAAUUUUAAUUUUCUUCAUUUGAAUAGAAAUGCUUGUUACCAACCUAUGUCUUUUCGACCAAGAAUAUUGAUAGUAGGAGAACCAGGAUUUGGGCAAGGUUCUCACUUGGCACCAGCUGUCAUUCAUGCUUUGGAAAAAUUUACUGUAUAUACAUUAGACAUUCCUGUUCUUUUUGGAGUUAGUGCUACAUCCCCUGAAGAAACAUGUGCCCAGGUAAUUCGCGAAGCUAAGAGAACAGCACCAAGUAUAGUGUAUGUUCCUCAUAUCCACUUGUGGUGGGAAAUAGUUGGACCAACACUUAAAGCCACAUUUCCCACAUUAUUACAGAAUAUUCCUUCAUUUGCUCCAGUUUUACUACUUGCAACUUCUGACAAACCCCAUUCUGCUUUGCCAGAAGAGUUGCAAGAAUUGUUUAUCCGUGAUUAUGGAGAGAUUUUUAAUGACCAGUUACCGGGUAAAGAAGAACGGACAAAAUUUUUUGAAGAUUUAAUUCUAAAACAAGCUGCUAAGCCUCCUAUAUCAAAAAAGAAUGCAGUUUUGCAGGCUUUGGAGGUACUCCCAGUAGCACCACCACCUGAGCCAAGAUCGCUGACAGCAGAAGAAGUGAAACGACUAGAAGAACAAGAAGAAGAUACAUUUAGAGAACUGAGGAUUUUCUUAAGAAAUGUUACACAUAGGCUUGCUGUUGACAAACGAUUCCAAGUGUUUACUAAGCCUGUUGACCCUGAUGAGGUUCCUGAUUAUGUCACUGUAAUAAAGCAACCAAUGGACCUUUCAUCUGUAAUCAGUAAAUUGAUCUACACAAGUAUCUGACUGUGAAAGACUAUUUGAGAGAUACUGAUCUAAUCUGUAGUAAUGCCUUAGAAUACAAUCCAGAUAGAGAUCCUGGAGAUCGUCUUAUUAGGCAUAGAGCCUGUGCUUUAAGAGAUACUGGCUAUGCCAUAAUUAAAGAAGAACUUGAUGAAGACUUUGAGCAGCUCUGUGAAGAAAUUCAGGAAUCUAGAAAGAAAAGAGGUUGUAGCUCCUCCAAAUACGCCCCGUCUUACUACCAUGUGAUGCUAAAGCAAAAUUCCACUCUUGCUGGUGACAAAAGAUCAGACCCAGAGCAGAAUGAAAAGCUAAAGACACCAAGUACUCCCAUGGCUUGCAGCACUCCUGCUCAGUUGAAGAGGAAAAUUCGCAAAAAGUCAAAAUGGUACUUAGGCACCAUAAGAAAGCGAAGGAGGAUUUCACAGGCAAAGGAUGAUAACCAGAAUGCCAUGGAUCACAAAAUUGAGAGUGAUACAGAGGAAACUCAAGACACAAGUGUAGAUCAUAAUGGGACCGGAAACACAGGAGAGUCUUCAGUGGAAGAAAACGAAAAGCAGCAAAAUGCCUCUGAAAGCAAACUGGAAUUGAGAAAUAAUUCAAAUACUUGUAAUAUCGAGAAUGAGCUUGAAGACUCUAGGAAGACUACAGCAUGUACAGAAUUAAGGAGAGAGAAGACUGCUUGCAAUGGAGAUGCUUCUAGCUCUCAGAUAAUACAUAUUUCUGAUGAAAAUGAAGGAAAAGAAAUGUGUGUUCUGCGAAUGACUCGAGCUAGACGUUCCCAGGUAGAACGGCAGCAGCUCAUCAGUGUUGAAAAGGCUUUGGCAAUUCUUUCUCAGCCGACACCCUCACUUGUUGUGGAUCAUGAGCGAUUAAAAAAUCUUUUGAAGACUGUUGUUUAAAAAAGUCGAAACUACAACAUAUUUCAGUUGAAAAAUUUGUAUGCAGUAAUCAGCCAAUGUAUUUAUCGGCAUCGCAAGGACUAUGAUAAAACAUCACUUAUUCAGAAAAUGGAGCAAGAGGUAGAAAACUUCAGUUGUUCCAGAUGAUGAUGUCAUGGUAUCGAGUGUUCUUUAUAUUCAGUUCCUAUUUAAGUCAUUUUUGUCAUGUCCGCCUAAUUGAUGUAGUAUGAAACCCUGCAUCUUUAAGGAAAA
This is an RNA transcript of Piliocolobus tephrosceles (Ugandan red Colobus), 4229 nucleotides long. It is a transcript of the gene named ATPase family AAA domain-containing protein 2 pseudogene, with no coding region annotated. The record is from RefSeq and is a predicted model, not a curated record. Lineage: Eukaryota; Metazoa; Chordata; Mammalia; Primates; Cercopithecidae. The transcript has a single exon.